RNAcentral lists this ribosomal RNA (729 nucleotides) under uncultured Limisphaera sp. Its description in RNAcentral is "bacterial SSU rRNA". It matches the Rfam family "Bacterial small subunit ribosomal RNA", at positions 94 to 803 of the family's 1533-position model. The record is from RNAcentral. Lineage: Bacteria; Pseudomonadati; Verrucomicrobiota; Verrucomicrobiia; Limisphaerales; Limisphaeraceae.
AGUGGCGCAAGGGUGCGUAACACGUGGGUAAUUUGCCGUGAAGUCUGGGAUAACUUGCUGAAAGGCGAGCUAAUACCGGAUGUGAUUACUGGAAGGCAUCUUCUGGUACUUAAAGUCGGGGAUCGUAAGACCUGACGCUUUUCGAUAAGCCCGCGGCCUAUCAGCUAGUUGGUGAGGUAACGGCUCACCAAGGCUAAGACGGGUAGCUGGUCUGAGAGGACGACCAGCCACACUGGAACUGAGACACGGUCCAGACACCUACGGGUGGCAGCAGUCGAGAAUUUUUCUCAAUGGGGGAAACCCUGAAGGAGCGACGCCGCGUGGGGGAUGAAUGGCUUCGGCCCGUAAACCCCUGUCAUUUGCGAUCAAACCUUACGACCUAACACGUCGUGAGCUGAUAGUAGCGGAAGAGGAAGGGACGGCUAACUCUGUGCCAGCAGCCGCGGUAAUACAGAGGUCCCAAGCGUUGUUCGGAUUCACUGGGCGUAAAGGGUGCGUAGGCGGUCGGGUAAGUCUGACGUGAAAUCUUCAAGCUCAACUUGGAAACUGCGUCGGAUACUAUUCGGCUAGAGGAAUGGAGGGGAGACUGGAAUACUUGGUGUAGCAGUGAAAUGCGUAGAUAUCAAGUGGAACACCAGUGGCGAAGGCGAGUCUCUGGACAUUUCCUGACGCUGAGGCACGAAAGCCAGGGGAGCAAACGGGAUUAGAUACCCCGGUAGUCCUGGCCCU